Rattus norvegicus (Norway rat) is the source of this 69-nucleotide non-coding RNA. The record is from Rfam. Lineage: Eukaryota; Metazoa; Chordata; Mammalia; Rodentia; Muridae.
GGGGAUUUAGCUCAGUGGUAGAGCGCUUGUCUAACAAGCGCAAGGCCCUGGGUUCGAUCCUCAGCUCCG